AAGCCUUCAACAUGCACCUGGCUGUCCGGCUGCUUAUCUUCACUCUGCAGACUGUUCUCUUCAUCAUAGUAACGUCCAUCGUCCUCAAAAGGACGUGCAUUUGCAAGAAAAAGAUGACGUUGUAGCCUCCAGACGUCGUGGCGGAGCCGAGACGUCCAGAGGAACCAGGC
Molecule: long non-coding RNA, 170 nt
Organism: Etheostoma spectabile (orangethroat darter)
Lineage: Eukaryota; Metazoa; Chordata; Actinopteri; Perciformes; Percidae
Exons: 3
Source: RefSeq, a predicted model, not a curated record